GCGAAUUUAGAAGAUCUAUCGCAGGACAUGCAAAUUUUUUUCACUAUGGAUUCAGGUAAACUUCCGUUGCAGAACUAAUCUUUUAGAUUUGGUAUGAGUUUGGUUAUUUAGAUUUCAUAUCUAGUUUUGAAAUCCCUAUAAGUGGUAUCAGAACCACCUCAUAUUAGAUCUUUGAUAUUAAAAUAAUUUUUAGAUUUUUUAUGGUAAAAUUUUGGAUUAAGUAUACAUAUUUUUUGCGGUCAAUUUUCGGAUUCGGAUAUAUAUAGAUUUUUUCUUUUAAUUAUGGAUUAAAGAACCAAAAUUUUUCGGGAUCUGUUUUUCUUUGCUUUUUGGAAUUUUUAGAUCUAUUUUUUUGAAUUACUUUUUAAAAUUUUCAGAUUUGUUUUCUCAGAUUAAUUUUCAUAUUUUUCAUAUAUGUUUUUCGAAAAUUAAAAAUAUAUAUGUAUAUAUAUAGUUUAUAGACAAAGAAAAAAUGAACAAAAGAGGGGAUGGAUUGGCCUCCCGGUCGCAGCUUAACAACUGCAACCACACCUGGUGCGGCGUGACCGUGAACCAGUUGCGACCUCCUAGUCGCAACAUGCAUAGAAGAAGCGGUGCCCAUGGCCACCGAAUGAAGGUAGAAGAAGAAGAAAAAGAAAAAAAAAACAAAAUAAAAAGAUGAAGAAAAAUGAAGAAAGAAAACGAAAAAGGGAGGCCCG
RNAcentral lists this long non-coding RNA (698 nucleotides) under Carica papaya (papaya). Its description in RNAcentral is "long non-coding RNA (CPAP_LNC007429)". The record is from RNAcentral. Lineage: Eukaryota; Viridiplantae; Streptophyta; Magnoliopsida; Brassicales; Caricaceae.